GGAACCGGUUGGACGGUCGCUAUAUCGCCAUGCGGUAUGGAGGAAAGUCCGGGCUCCAUAGGACAGGGUGCCAGGUAACGCCUGGGGGGCGCGAGUCUACGGCCAGUGCCACAGAAAACAAACCGCCUACGUUCUCGUUGCGAGAACCGGCAAGGGUGAAAAGGUGCGGUAAGAGCGCACCGCGUCUCUGGCAACAGCGACGGCACGGUAAACCCCACCCGGAGCAAGACCAAAUAGAGGAGCACAACGUGUGGUCCGCACGGCUCCUGGGUAGGUCGCUACAGGCGUCUGGUGACAGGCGUCGCAGAUGAAUGAUCGUCCUCGACAGAACCCGGCUUAUAGACCGGUUCCCGCU
RNAcentral lists this RNase P RNA (355 nucleotides) under Candidatus Contendobacter odensis Run_B_J11. RNAcentral's name for it is "Bacterial RNase P class A". It matches the Rfam family "Bacterial RNase P class A". From Rfam's summary of the family: Ribonuclease P (RNase P) is a ubiquitous endoribonuclease, found in archaea, bacteria and eukarya as well as chloroplasts and mitochondria. Its best characterised activity is the generation of mature 5'-ends of tRNAs by cleaving the 5'-leader elements of precursor-tRNAs. Lineage: Bacteria; Pseudomonadati; Pseudomonadota; Gammaproteobacteria; Candidatus Competibacteraceae. RNAcentral also lists the same sequence under 1 other name. The record is from Rfam by way of RNAcentral.